CCGAUGACUCGGGGAUAGCCUUUCGAAAGAAAGAUUAAUACCCGAUGGCAUAGUUCUUCCGCAUGGUAGAACUAUUAAAGAAUUUCGGUCAUCGAUGGGGAUGCGUUCCAUUAGGUUGUUGGCGGGGUAACGGCCCACCAAGCCUUCGAUGGAUAGGGGUUCUGAGAGGAAGGUCCCCCACAUUGGAACUGAGACACGGUCCAAACUCCUACGGGAGGCAGCAGUGAGGAAUAUUGGUCAAUGGACGAGAGUCUGAACCAGCCAAGUAGCGUGAAGGAUGACUGCCCUAUGGGUUGUAAACUUCUUUUAUACGGGAAUAAAGUGAGGCACGUGUGCCUUUUUGUAUGUACCGUAUGAAUAAGGAUCGGCUAACUCCGUGCCAGCAGCCGCGGUAAUACGGAGGAUCCGAGCGUUAUCCGGAUUUAUUGGGUUUAAAGGGAGCGUAGGCGGACGCUUAAGUCAGUUGUGAAAGUUUGCGGCUCAACCGUAAAAUUGCAGUUGAUACUGGGUGUCUUGAGUACAGUAGAGGCAGGCGGAAUUCGUGGUGUAGCGGUGAAAUGCUUAGAUAUCACGAAGAACUCCGAUUGCGAAGGCAGCCUGCUGGACUGUAACUGACGCUGAUGCCCGAAAGUGUGGGUAUCAAACAGGAUUAGAUACCCUGGUAGUCCACACAGUAAACGAAGAAUACUCGCUGUUUGCGAUAUACAGUAAGCGGCC
RNAcentral lists this ribosomal RNA (717 nucleotides) under uncultured bacterium. Its description in RNAcentral is "bacterial SSU rRNA". It matches the Rfam family "Bacterial small subunit ribosomal RNA", at positions 129 to 848 of the family's 1533-position model. The record is from RNAcentral.